Long non-coding RNA from Gymnodraco acuticeps, 1789 nucleotides. RefSeq lists it as uncharacterized. The transcript has 3 exons. The record is from RefSeq and is a predicted model, not a curated record. NCBI's taxonomy places the organism in Eukaryota, Metazoa, Chordata, Actinopteri, Perciformes, Bathydraconidae.
CAAAAAACGUUCCCAACUCUUCAGGGAUCAAAACUUGAAACCACCCGAGUUAAAUCCAGACGACAGUAGAUCAGAAAUGUCUCUAUUCUGCAAGACCCCCCUCCACUCACACUGUGCUGGCUCACAGAAAGAGCAUGUCAUCAUUUUGGUCAAGGCGUUCUAUGGCAGGUUCAGCAACUGAGGGAGCUGACUUAAAUGAGUAAGCAGAUGAUGUGCCAAAAAGCUGCAAAACGUCAUCAGGCAGCUUGUGCUCAUAGCAAGCAUCACCAGACAGCUUCAGACCAUAUCGGACAUAAAGGAUGGAGUUCAGGGUCUGCAAGGACAUCCGGUUUCUGAGUUUGCUUUUUACCACACUCAUCUGGCUGAAUAGUCUCUCGACUUCAGCAUUCGAGUGUGGCAAGGACAGCACAGACACAGCAGCCAUGAUGGAUGGAACGCCACUGCUGGACAAUCUUGUCUAUAUCUGCAGGAGAGUAGCCAAGGAGCUUGGCUAUUUUUUCGAUUUCUCCCAGGCUCUUACUGUGGUUUAGAGUUUUCUCUACAUUGAAAACGGACAUGUACUGCAAUGCCUCAAUAUUGUCUGGCAGUCUCAACCUCAACUCGUGAGUGAGGGAGAUGGUGAAGGCAACACACCGCUUUCGGACCUGGUUCUUCUCCUCAGGCGCAAGAAGGAGCUCAGCUGCCUUGGACUCAAAAAGGUAACCAAGGUACGGUGAGGGACUGAUGUAUCCAUCAAUUGGCUCUUUGAGAACAUCAAUAUUGGCAAGUGGAUUCAGCACCCUGCUACUCACAGACUUGAUCAGGCUAACCAAGCUGUCAAGUAGCUUCAAAGGAUCCACCUGCUCUCCCUCAAAAGCCUUGAUCGCCAACUGCACCUCACCCAGCACCGACUUCAAAAAAGUGAGGUACAAAAUGUUCUGAGGAUCACUGUACAUGGAGUGUAAAACCUCAGCCAUGUAACAGUGUUCACUGGACUUGGUGACUGCAAAAUGCAGUUUAAGCGCCUCCCACUGGUCCAAAAUGCGUGUAACCGCUGGUUCAAUGGAGAGCCAACGUGUCGCACACACCUUUGUUAUUUGUAAGGGCUGCUCCCCACAGUUGAUGGUCUCAUAUAUGGCCUUAUAGGCGUCCCUGCGCUUUGGAGACACCGAAAACCAGUUAUAGGUCUCCCGUACCAAGUACUCCACACUACGGGGGAGGGUGUCAUUGGAAGCAUGAGUUACAGCAAGUUGCAGAGAAUGACACACACAGUGAAUAAGAACCAGAUCUUUGAUGCCAUACUCCUCCUUCAGCACUUUAUGGACCCCAUUCUUAUUCCCCGUCAUAACUGAGGCAUUGUCAGUCCCUAUCCCCAGGAGUUUCUCUUUUUUGAGACAACACUUCUCCAGGAAAGCCACAAGAGCUUGGGCUAUAGAUCUGGCAUCUCCUCCCUCCAACUGAACAAGCCCCAGAAAUGUUGAGACAAUUGUUUGUUUUGUGUUACUAAAGUACCUUAUCACAACCCCCAGGUACUUAGAAACACUGACAUCAGUGGACUCAUCAAGGAGGAGGCUGAAACGCUGGUCACCCACAUCUGCGACCAACUUUUUCAGGAAGUAUGGUGCUCGAACACCAUUUAUCAUCUCGGUGCACUUUGUCCGAUGCAUUUUGAAGUGCUUAGCAGCAGUGGAGUCCGAGAAAGAAGCUUUACAUGCCUCCCCAAUGUGAUCACAUGCAGCAUUGAACAGUGUUCAGCCAUAGCUAAAGCCAUGAUGGCUUCAGCCUUUUUUGCAGGGUCAAUUGUUUUAGU